GUGGGGAAUCUUGCGCAAUGGGCGAAAGCCUGACGCAGCCAUGCCGCGUGAAUGAUGAAGGUCUUAGGAUUGUAAAAUUCUUUCACCGGGGACGAUAAUGACGGUACCCGGAGAAGAAGCCCCGGCUAACUUCGUGCCAGCAGCCGCGGUAAUACGAAGGGGGCUAGCGUUGCUCGGAAUUACUGGGCGUAAAGGGAGCGUAGGCGGAUCGUUAAGUUGGGGGUGAAAGCCCGGGGCUCAACCUCGGAACUGCCUUCAAUACUGGCGAUCUUGAGUAUGAGAGAGGUGUGUGGAACUCCGAGUGUAGAGGUGAAAUUCGUAGAUAUUCGGAAGAACACCAGUGGCGAAGGCGACUCACUGGCUCAUUACUGACGCUGAGGCUCGAAAGCGUGGGGAGCAAACAGG
This 405-nucleotide ribosomal RNA is filed under the name uncultured Caulobacter sp. RNAcentral's name for it is "bacterial SSU rRNA". It matches the Rfam family "Bacterial small subunit ribosomal RNA", at positions 354 to 776 of the family's 1533-position model. Lineage: Bacteria; Pseudomonadati; Pseudomonadota; Alphaproteobacteria; Caulobacterales; Caulobacteraceae. The record is from RNAcentral.